GGCCUCUCAGUUUGCGUGCCGCGCCGCUGCGCUGGCUGUGGCGGGAGCCGGCGGCGGCGGCGCUCUGCAAAAUACCAGCUGGAGCGGUCGAGCGAAUGCUCAGACUCGUGGGCGACAGUCUGACGGCGUCCUGUGGACGAAGAUAGCGAAGCAUUUGCGUGGAUGGCGCGGUAGGCGGCUCGUCCGCCACCCGGGUGACGGAGACCUCAUGAUGCGCUUCCUACCGAGUCUUGCCCAUGCGGAGGCGAUGCGGCGCCGAGCCACCGAGGCGUCCCGACCGGCGCUGGCGCGAAUAGUGGCUUGUCACCCAAAGUUUAACGGAGGCAUGGUGGUGCUAAGGACAUUCGGCGCGGCACCGUCUGUCACGGGAUUGACAGUUUUGCAUAGAGUGAACCCUUCGGUGGAAAUAUGGUGCGGGUCGGGGUGAUUUGAAUGAGAUAGUUGUGAGGAUGAUCAGAUGAUAGACAAGAGCGGGAGGCGGGGAGGAAUUACACCGGUGCUAGGUUAAGUUCGUUAUGAUCAAAUUAUAACUGUGAUAAUUGUACGAUUCAUUCGCUACGAUUCAUUUGCUGUGCAAUUGGUCAUUGUGACGUUCAUCCCCCUCUCCCGUGGCCGUAUGUAUGAGAACGAUAGUUCCGGUGAGUUUUAACUGACAUUCGUUAUCAUGAUGGAUGUAAUUGUUUGGCGGACUUUUCUGUACAUUUAACACGACCUGUGUGCUUCCCCUACUGCGAUAUUACUGAUAUAACGAUUAGAAUGCCAUGAAUUUCACGCAUCAGACCUGUUUUUGCCGUUUGUGAGACUAUUCGGCGCGGUGAGAGCUGGUAUCUGCAAAGCUGAGUUCGGACCGAGCAUGUUGGUUCUGCGCUGUGCUCGUGGUAAAUUCACAUCAUUUAUACAAUUGAAUGACAGCUCAAGUUUCGCCUCAGUUUUGCGUGUGAGUGGUGAAGCUUGUUUCCGUUUUAAAUCCGUUAAUGUGCGUUUUGUUCGCAUAUUUUUUAAACCGGACUUCUUGAAGUAUGGGGACGAAUAUACGAAUCGCUGGGAGGGAUGCA
Long non-coding RNA from Amphibalanus amphitrite, 1055 nucleotides. RefSeq lists it as uncharacterized. The record is from RefSeq and is a predicted model, not a curated record. Lineage: Eukaryota; Metazoa; Arthropoda; Thecostraca; Balanomorpha; Balanidae. The transcript is spliced from 2 exons.